AUGUUUGCAUGGACUAAUCUUACCGUCCCAGGAGAAUGUAUGUCCCCAGUUCGGAACCCAUUGUCCAGUGUCUCUGUAACCGCGGCUUCGAUUCUCUUUGCAGCACUUUCUACACCAAGGCCAUAUUUCAAUAGCAUCGCCGCACUAAGAAUUGUAGCUAACGGGUUUGCCUUGUCCUGCACUCAGCAGAUUGUAGAAGGGAGCAGAAUUUUGAACAGAGUUAGACAACAAAAGGCAGCGCAGUAUUAUCCAAGGAUUGUUCUGAAUUUAGGAGCUAUGUCAACCUGGCCAGCAAUGUCAGGAGCAGAGCCAUGA
This 315-nucleotide ribosomal RNA is filed under the name Triticum aestivum (bread wheat). RNAcentral's name for it is "partial small subunit ribosomal RNA". The record is from RNAcentral. Lineage: Eukaryota; Viridiplantae; Streptophyta; Magnoliopsida; Poales; Poaceae.